GAUGAACGCUGGCGGCGUGCCUAAUACAUGCAAGUCGAACGCAAAACCUUCGGGUUUUGAGUGGCGGACGGGUGAGUAACACGUGGGUGACCUGCCCAUCAGCCUGGGAUAACCACCGGAAACGGUGGCUAAUACCGGAUAUGUCUACGGAUGAAAGUCGGAUUUAUCUGACACUGAUGGAUGGACCUGCGGCGCAUUAGCUAGUUGGUGGGAUAGUAGCUCACCAAGGCGACGAUGCGUAGCCGACCUGAGAGGGUGAUCGGCCACACUGGGACUGAGACACGGCCCAGACUCCUACGGGAGGCAGCAGUAGGGAAUCUUCCGCAAUGGACGCAAGUCUGACGGAGCAACGCCGCGUGAGUGAAGAAGGUUUUCGGAUCGUAAAGCUCUGUUGUUAAGGAAGAAUGUUUAUGGCAGUAACUGGCCAUGAA
RNAcentral lists this ribosomal RNA (431 nucleotides) under uncultured bacterium. Its description in RNAcentral is "bacterial SSU rRNA". It matches the Rfam family "Bacterial small subunit ribosomal RNA", at positions 28 to 489 of the family's 1533-position model. The record is from RNAcentral.